CUGGUUGAUCCUGCCAGUAGUCAUAUGCUUGUCUCAAAGAUUAAGCCAUGCAUGUCUCAGUGCAAGCCAUAUUAAGGUGAAACCGCGAAAGGCUCAUUAAAUCAGUUAUGGUUCAUUGGAUGGUACACAGUUACUUGGAUAACUGUGGUAAUUCUAGAGCUAAUACAUGCAAACUGAGUCCCGACCAUUCAUUUGGCAGGGAUGCUUUUAUUAGAUCAAAACCAAUCAGACCUUUUGGGUCUGUUGCUCUUGGUGACUCUGAAUAACUUUGGGCUGAUCGCAUGGUCUCGUACCGGCGACGCAUCUUUCAAAUGUCUGACUUAUCAACUUUCGAUGGUAGGCUCUGCGCCUAUUACGGUUGUAACGGGUAACGGGGAAUCAGGGUUCGAUUCCGGAGAGGGAGCCUGAGAAACGGGUACCACAUCCAAGGAAGGCAGCAGGCGCGCAAAUUACCCACUCCCAGCACGGGGAGGUAGUGACGAAAAAUAACGAUGCAGAACUCAUUCCGAGGCUCUGCAAUCGGAAUGAGAACACUCUAAAUCAUUUAACGAGUAUCCAUUGGAGGACAAGUCUGGUGCCAGCAGCCGCGG
This 590-nucleotide ribosomal RNA is filed under the name Ectopsocidae gen. sp. Its description in RNAcentral is "SSU rRNA". It matches the Rfam family "Eukaryotic small subunit ribosomal RNA", at positions 4 to 579 of the family's 1831-position model. Lineage: Eukaryota; Metazoa; Arthropoda; Insecta; Psocodea; Ectopsocidae. The record is from RNAcentral.